Molecule: ribosomal RNA, 293 nt
Filed under: uncultured bacterium
Lineage: Bacteria
Description: partial 16S ribosomal RNA
Rfam family: Bacterial small subunit ribosomal RNA
Source: RNAcentral
UGAGAUGAGCCUGCGUUAGAUUAGCUAGUUGGUAGGGUAAAGGCCUACCAAGGCGACGAUCUAUAGCUGGUCUGAGAGGACGAUCAGCCACACUGGGACUGAGACACGGCCCAGACUCCUACGGGAGGCAGCAGUGGGGAAUAUUGGACAAUGGGCGCAAGCCUGAUCCAGCAAUACCGCGUGUGUGAAGAGGGCCUUAGGGUUGCAAAGCACUUUCAAUUGGGAGGAAAACCUGCCGGUCAAUACCCGGCAGCUUGACAUUACCUUUAGAAGAAGCACCGGCUAACUCCGUG